GACAUUACAUUUGUAACAAUUCUCUUAUCUUUCCUUUACUUUGUAUCAUGAACAUCAUGACUUUUUUUUUUUUUUUUCCUGAAAAUCCGGCAGAGUUUCCCCUAAAAUAUGGACUUAAUUACCUUAACCCCCAAACUUCUUUCAACAUCAAAACAGUUUCAAUUUCGAUCAAACGCUUCAUAACAUUUCAUUAAUCUCAACACAGAAACUUAUACUAAUCAUCCACAUUUACACUAAAAUUAAAAUAUUUAACUAUAUCUGUUUCAACCCAUAUUCAACUUUAUCUCUAAAACCUUAUGUACAUGUCAUAUUUCCAAAAUCAAGUUCAUAUAAAAAUUUACAAAAUAUACCCCAAUAUAGAUGAUGAUGUAACUCUGGCUGGGUUGAUGCAGAUCUUGAUCUACUGCUCUUUGAAUCUACAACCUGCGCGAGGAAAAAUAAAUUCCUACGCGCUAAGCAAAUUGCUUAGUAGUGCUCAACUUUUUUUUAUAUAAAUAAAAAUUUAAAUCAAAAUUCAUGUAAUAACAGUAAUUCAAACAAACAAACAACAAAUAACUAUAUAACAAAUCAUUUGACAUAAGCUAAAUCAUAUUAUUAUUUUACAUAUAUAUAUAUUUUCAUUUCACAAUCUUUUUUUUUUUUCUUCAUCAUGUAAAAGGUUUUAUUUUCUCUUAAUACUUUUAUUUAUUUAUUAUUUUUCUGUUGGCCCCUAUAAAUUUAAAUGGGACUGUUAAGUCAGAUAAGGAAACUGUAACUGUAGGGCACAAAGUGCCAAAUAACUGUAUGGCUCAAAAGCCGAGUCUAUGACUGUAGGAUACCUCAUUGUAUCCCAAAAAUCCGUGUAACUAUAGUGCAGUACUGCAAGAUCUGUAUAUGGCAUGCCACACCCUUAAACUAACUCACAAUUCCCACCAAACUUAAUAGGGCCAGACUUUAAAUAAUUUAUACAUUUAAACAUGAGCCAAAAAUUUCAAUAUAGUGUAACUUUUAAUUUUUUUAAACUAUAAUAAUUUAUCAUAUUACAACUCUGCCUUUAAACAUUGUCAUAUCAUGUAAAUCUAUUCAUUUACUUCAACUACAUAAAUUACAAAUUCAUAAUUUAAUCCUUAAUUAAUUAACUAUUAUUCUUUUUAUUAUUAUUAUUUUUUUCUAAUAUAAUUUUUUUUUUCCUAUUUUUUUUUCUAUCACAAUAUACCUUAUUUCAUUUUUCUUUUUCUUUAACUUUCUAUUUUUUUAUCUUCUAUUUUAAACAUCAUAUUUACACUAUAUCUCACUUGUCUUAUCACUUUCAUUUCUCUUUUUUUUUUUUUUUUUAUUGUCACUAUAUCCACCCACAUUAUUUUUCUAUCAAAGAACAUAGAGUCAUUUCAUUAUAUCCAUAAAUUAAAUUUUAGUUAAAUUCCAUAUAAAUUUUAGAAUUUUCUAUCUAUUAAAUCUAUUAUUUCUCAAACUUUUAUUAUCCAAAUAUAAUUAAUCUAUUAUUCACUUGGGCUACUUCUACUAGGAUAGUAAAAUUUCAAAUAAAACCUAAUUAACAAAUUCUUGAAUUGAUUCAAAUGGGGUUGAGCACAAACCUUAGAAUUUCCAAAAUAUUCUACAAGCUUUACUUCUCUACUCUUCAUUUUCUUUCCCUUUGGAACUUCCACUUUUCCUUUCCACUUUUUCUCAUGAAAAAAAAAUAAACCAAUAAAUCACAUUAAUACACUAUUUCUCAUAAAUAUUCACAUUUAACAUCCCUGGGUAGCUGGCUCAGGCUCGUAAAGUCGAACCGUCUUUCGAGCAUAUGAUCUGAUGGGCUUCGGACCUGUGACUUUUUUUUGGAUCCAACCUUAUUCCUGAGCUAGGAAAGAUCUGGAGGUUAUCAAUAUUAUUAUAA
This 1876-nucleotide long non-coding RNA is filed under the name Manihot esculenta (cassava). RNAcentral describes it as "long non-coding RNA (MESC_LNC001857)". Lineage: Eukaryota; Viridiplantae; Streptophyta; Magnoliopsida; Malpighiales; Euphorbiaceae. The record is from RNAcentral.